UACGUGUACCCGCAAGGGGAAAGUGGCGAAAGGGAGAGGAACACGUGGGUUACCAACCUUCUGGUCGGGGAUAGCGGCGGGAAACUGCCAUUAAUACCCGAUAACGUCUGCGGACCAAAGGUGUGAUUCCGCCGGAAGACGGGCCCGCGUCCUAUUAGCUAGUUGGUGGGGUAAUGGCCUACCAAGGCAAUGAUGGGUACGGGGCGUGAGAGCGUGCCCCCGCUCACUGGGACUGAGACACUGCCCAGACACCUACGGGUGGCUGCAGUCGAGGAUCUUCGGCAAUGGGCGCAAGCCUGACCGAGCGACGCCGCGUGUGGGAUGAAGGCCUUCGGGUUGUAAACCACUGUCGUAGGGGAGGAAGGCUGCGCGAAGAGCGCGGUUUGACCGAUCCUAGGAGGAAGUCCAGGCUAACCUCGUGCCAGCAGCCGCGGUAAGACGAGGUGGACAAACGUUA
Molecule: ribosomal RNA, 457 nt
Filed under: uncultured bacterium
Lineage: Bacteria
Description: bacterial SSU rRNA
Rfam family: Bacterial small subunit ribosomal RNA
Source: RNAcentral